GGUUCGGUGGCAGAAUGGUGAUGCAGCGGACUGCAAAUCCGCGUAUAUGGGUUCGAUUCCCGUCCGAACCUCCA
Molecule: transfer RNA, 74 nt
Filed under: Oecophyllibacter saccharovorans
Lineage: Bacteria; Pseudomonadati; Pseudomonadota; Alphaproteobacteria; Acetobacterales; Acetobacteraceae
Description: tRNA-Cys
Rfam family: tRNA
About the family: Transfer RNA (tRNA) molecules are approximately 80 nucleotides in length.
Source: RNAcentral